Long non-coding RNA from Panthera uncia (snow leopard), 1077 nucleotides. RefSeq lists it as uncharacterized. NCBI's taxonomy places the organism in Eukaryota, Metazoa, Chordata, Mammalia, Carnivora, Felidae. The record is from RefSeq and is a predicted model, not a curated record. The transcript is spliced from 3 exons.
AGGUGUAUAUGCUUGUGGUGCUUCUGACCUGGAAGAGAUCCCAAUGACACGAUCCUCCUGCACUAAUUCCUGAACAAAACUGGGGCCUUGGGUGAAACAGAAGCGGCAGUUUUGAGACGUUAGUUGCUAUGAUCGGCCUGCAGAAAGAGCAGAGGCCAGCAGUCUUUGGAAUUCAGGUUUUGGGCUGUGCGGAGACUGGGGCACUGCCAUGUCCGGAGCCGUUUGACGGGCCUAAGUAAGGGCAUUUAAUGGACUCAGAAAACUGAGCCACAAAAGAUGACAUCUGCACCCACCUCCCACACCAAACAUCAGCAGAAAGUCUUUUCCUGGCCACUCACCUUUAUUUUAUAAUAUGCCCAAGCUACCAGAAAAUUGCACUUCAAGAGCCAGAAGGAAAGGAGGAGAUGUGGGCCAGAAUUACAGGUAACCAGGGGAUUCUGUGUGCUUCUCCUGAGACAUUCCUCCUAAGAGUUUGCAACGAAGAUGCUGAGUACGCAGACCGUCACUUCAGCCUUCACCACAUAAUGACAUGGCGUGAUCAGGCGUAUCAUUAGGGCAUGCUACAAAAUGUUGUUUCUCCCUGCCUCAUUCUGGUCUCCCCAAACCUGAAUCGGUAAUUCCAGUGGGUCAGUUCUCCCCAGAAUAGAAGUAUCUCCAGAACCUGCUGUGUGUUCCCACCACAUCACUGCGAUUACUGCAGUAAGAUUUUGGAGCGGGACCGUCUUGGGUUCAAGUUCUGGCUCCCAUGUGCGACUUUUGACAAGGGGCUUAAUGUCUUUGAGCCUAGAUUUCAUUAUUUAUAAAGUGAGAAUAUCUACCACAUGGCACAUUUAUAAAGAUAAAAGAUCAUGUAUGUACUUCGCAUUAUAAGUAAUACAAAGUAAAUGCUCAAUAAAAUGAUGAUUAGCCUGUGUUUUAUACCUUAAUAUCUGCUCCAACCUCGAUUAUAUGACAUCCUCCUGAUGGGACUGUCAGGAGGAUCCCUUCCCUCUUCAGGCCAGCAUCUCCCUGCUUUUGCCACAGCCCCUGUGUUAAAAAUCUUCAUCAUCAUCACACAUUUUCCCUGCUGAAAAGUUG